GACGAACGCUGGCGGCGUGCUUAACACAUGCAAGUCGAACGGAAAGGCCCUGCUGUUGUGGGGUGCUCGAGUGGCGAACGGGUGAGUAACACGUGAGUAACCUGCCCUUGACUUUGGGAUAACUUCAGGAAACUGGGGCUAAUACCGGAUAGGAGCUCCUGCUGCAUGGUGGGGGUUGGAAAGUUUCGGCGGUUGGGGAUGGACUCGCGGCUUAUCAGCUUGUUGGUGGGGUAGUGGCUUACCAAGGCUUUGACGGGUAGCCGGCCUGAGAGGGUGACCGGCCACAUUGGGACUGAGAUCCGGCCCAGACUCCUACGGGAGGCAGCAGUGGGGAAUAUUGCACAAUGGGCGGAAGCCUGAUGCAGCAACGCCGCGUGCGGGAUGACGGCCUUCGGGUUGUAAACCGCUUUCGCCUGUGACGAAGCGUGAGUGACGGUAAUGGGUAAAGAAGCACCGGCUAACUACGUG
This 468-nucleotide ribosomal RNA is filed under the name uncultured bacterium. RNAcentral describes it as "partial 16S ribosomal RNA". It matches the Rfam family "Bacterial small subunit ribosomal RNA", at positions 28 to 507 of the family's 1533-position model. The record is from RNAcentral.